Long non-coding RNA from Oncorhynchus tshawytscha (Chinook salmon), 1175 nucleotides. The record is from Ensembl. Lineage: Eukaryota; Metazoa; Chordata; Actinopteri; Salmoniformes; Salmonidae.
AUUUAUCUUUAGUUCUAAAGUUCUUAGCUCUCGCUCUGAUGUUAAAUGUCUUGUUUCUUUUUUUUUUUUGGGGGGGGAUUAUUUGUAUAAUAGUAUUGUAUACUUACUUACGACAACGUACACACACAGUGGCACACAUCGGCAGAAAUAGUUACCAUUUUCGAUCACCGGAUCAAAGUUCCUGGUGACUGCAGUGGAGAGACAUGCAAAAACACAUGUCUGGGGGGAAAGGUCCCUCUCUUCCUCUCCACUCUCUGCGCCUCAUGGUUCCACCAUUGCGGCUGGUCUCAGCAGCCAUUUGGCGAACGGUCCAGCAGAGACACGUGAUGGAUUAUGGGAUGCUGGAAGAGUUUGUUACCAUGGUCACAGAGAUGGUUCCAGAGCCUAAAAGUGCAAUAUGUGCCAUGUAAAAAAGCUAACGUUUAAGUUCCUUGCUCAGAACAUGAGAACAUAUGAAAGUUGGUGGUUCCUUUUAACAUGAGACUUCAAUGAUGUUUUUCCUGUGGAAUUUGGUCCCAAGUAUGACGCCGCAAUAGAGAAACUAAUGUGUCAGUUUCUUUCAAGACUUGAGAAGCUACUUAUCAAAUUUUCAACAGGCUGCAUUCCUGCUCAGUGAUGUCCCCUCUGUUCUGGAGGAAUGUGUUGAGUCCAUGUCUCACCCUCAGCAGCUGAAAACCCUACUUCAGUACCACAGAGAUCUCGGCCAGCUGGACAACCAUGAAAGGGUGAUUGCAACAGAACAAACAGAAUCAGAAACACCAGUAUCAUCCUUGAAUGUCUUCAUGGAUACAUUCACCAAAGAGUUGGAUGUGGACUCUGCAACACUGACAGAGUACACAGAGAUGGAACCGGGGACAAGUAUGAAUGUCGUAGAAAGAGAGGAGAGGGUGGAAUGUGAGAGAAACAACAAACUAUCUAUAGAGUUUGCUGACCCUGUGGACCAUGAGAACAUGGAGGUUCAUGCCGGUAAUGAAGAAGAGAAGGUUGUGGGGAUUGGACCAGUAAAAGAUGAGACGGAAGAUAUUGUUGAAGAGGUGGACUCCAGGUACAAAACAGUGAUGGUUAUUGGGGCAGAUGGGGUGGCGCAGACUUAUGAAGAUUUAAGUGUCAAAAGGAAGAGAUCUUUCAGAAAGCCUCAAAUAAAGACACAUAAAGCCAGUGUAAGUCAUGGAGAA